RNAcentral lists this transfer RNA (62 nucleotides) under Palleon nasus (elongate leaf chameleon). RNAcentral describes it as "partial tRNA-Trp". The record is from RNAcentral. Lineage: Eukaryota; Metazoa; Chordata; Lepidosauria; Squamata; Chamaeleonidae.
AGGAACUUAGGACUAUUCAAACCCGGGGCCUUCAAAGCCCCUAAAAAGAGGCAACCUCUUAG